UGGACCAGUGAUGAAAAUGUGUUUUGAAACAAUGGUUAUAAUUAUUACAAUUCUGUACCACUGACAUU
Vicugna pacos (alpaca) is the source of this 68-nucleotide small nucleolar RNA. NCBI's taxonomy places the organism in Eukaryota, Metazoa, Chordata, Mammalia, Artiodactyla, Camelidae. The record is from Ensembl.